ACUAUUUUGGCAGACAAGUGCGGUGGAUUUAGAAUCUAUAUAUAUAGAUUGUAUCUAUAGAUAGUA
RNAcentral lists this transfer RNA (66 nucleotides) under Episymploce forficula. RNAcentral describes it as "tRNA-Leu". The record is from RNAcentral. Lineage: Eukaryota; Metazoa; Arthropoda; Insecta; Blattodea; Blattellidae.